This 816-nucleotide ribosomal RNA is filed under the name uncultured marine bacterium. Its description in RNAcentral is "bacterial SSU rRNA". It matches the Rfam family "Bacterial small subunit ribosomal RNA", at positions 49 to 913 of the family's 1533-position model. The record is from RNAcentral.
CUACACAUGCAAGUCGAACGAAGUAGCAAUACUUAGUGGCAGACGGGUGAGUAACAUGUGGGUAUCUACCCUUUGGCCUGGAAUAACACGAGGAAACUUGUGCUAAUACUGGAUAAGUCUUUACGGAGAAAGCUUUAUGCACCAUUGGAUGAGCCCGCACUUGAUUAGUUUGUUGGUAGGGUAAUGGCCUACCAAGACUAUGAUCAAUAGCUGAUUUGAGAGGAUGAUCAGCCACAUUGGGACUGAGACACGGCCCAAACUCCUACGGGAGGCAGCAGUGGGGAAUCUUGCACAAUGGAGGAAACUCUGAUGCAGCGAUGCCGCGUGAGUGAAGAAGGCCCUUGGGUUGUAAAGCUCUUUCGUCGGGGAAGAAAAUGACUGUACCCGAAUAAGAAGGUCCGGCUAACUUCGUGCCAGCAGCCGCGGUAAUACGAAGGGACCUAGCGUAGUUCGGAAUUACUGGGCUUAAAGAGUUCGUAGGUGGUUGAAAAAGUUGGUGGUGAAAUCCCAGAGCUUAACUCUGGAACUGCCAUCAAAACUUUUCAGCUAGAGUUUGAUAGAGGAAAGCAGAAUUUCUAGUGUAGAGGUGAAAUUCGUAGAUAUUAGAAAGAAUACCAAUUGCGAAGGCAGCUUUCUGGAUCAAUACUGACACUGAGGAACGAAAGCAUGGGUAGCGAAGAGGAUUAGAUACCCUCGUAGUCCAUGCCGUAAACGAUGUGUGUUAGACGUUGGAAAUUUAUUUUCAGUGUCGCAGCGAAAGCGAUAAACACACCGCCUGGGGAGUACGACCGCAAGGUUAAAACUCAAAUGAAUUGA